CGAGUUCAUCGGACUGGAGCUUCCUUGGGGAGGUGACAACAAAGGCGGCGGCGGAGUCGGCGGGGGAGAGGAGGAGAGUGAAGGAGAGAGCGAGGGAGGUGCAGAGAAGGAGAAGGGAGUUGGGAAUGGUGAGUUUGGGGAAGAGGGGUAUUAUUGGAAGUGUCGGUUUUGGGUUUGGGGGGCGAAGGAGGAAGAGGAUGGGAGUUUGGAGAUGGAGGGAUUUGGAGAGGUGAAUGGUGGUUGGUUUGGUGGUGUUUGAGGAAGAACGAGAGAGUGAAAAAGAAGAAGAAGAAGGAGAAGGGAA
RNAcentral lists this long non-coding RNA (304 nucleotides) under Glycine max (soybean). RNAcentral describes it as "long non-coding RNA (GMAX_LNC004266)". The record is from RNAcentral. Lineage: Eukaryota; Viridiplantae; Streptophyta; Magnoliopsida; Fabales; Fabaceae.